RNAcentral lists this ribosomal RNA (484 nucleotides) under uncultured bacterium. RNAcentral describes it as "bacterial SSU rRNA". It matches the Rfam family "Bacterial small subunit ribosomal RNA", at positions 30 to 507 of the family's 1533-position model. The record is from RNAcentral.
AUUGAACGCUGGCGGCAUGCCUUACACAUGCAAGUCGAACGGCAGCACGGGAGCAAUCCUGGUGGCGAGUGGCGAACGGGUGAGUAAUAUAUCGGAACGUGCCCAGUCGUGGGGGAUAACGUAGCGAAAGCUACGCUAAUACCGCAUACGAUCUACGGAUGAAAGCGGGGGAUCGCAAGACCUCGCGCGAUUGGAGCGGCCGAUAUCAGAUUAGCUAGUUGGUGGGGUAAAAGCUCACCAAGGCGACGACCUGUAGCUGGUCUGAGAGGACGACCAGCCACACUGGAACUGAGACACGGUCCAGACUCCUACGGGAGGCAGCAGUGGGGAAUUUUGGACAAUGGGCGCAAGCCUGAUCCAGCAAUGCUGCGUGCAGGAUGAAGGCCUUCGGGUUGUAAACUGCUUUUGUACGGAACGAAACGGUGAGCUCUAAUAAAGCUUGCUAAUGACGGUACCGUAAGAAUAAGCACCGGCUAACUACGUG